This 204-nucleotide ribosomal RNA is filed under the name Triticum aestivum (bread wheat). RNAcentral describes it as "partial small subunit ribosomal RNA". The record is from RNAcentral. Lineage: Eukaryota; Viridiplantae; Streptophyta; Magnoliopsida; Poales; Poaceae.
AUGCACCAUGCUGCUCCCUUGGAAGGCUGGCUGAGCGACGCAGCGAUGAAGGCAGUGAACGAGCUGCUGUCGUCAGGCGCCGCCGGCAACCUGAGCAGCCUCUGCUCCUGGGCCGACAAGGGGGACUGCAAGGACGAGGAGGGCGUCAAGGUCCGCUGCGUCGCUGGUGCCAUCAACAACUACACCUCCCAGCUCCUCACCUAG